RNAcentral lists this ribosomal RNA (253 nucleotides) under uncultured bacterium. RNAcentral describes it as "partial 16S ribosomal RNA". It matches the Rfam family "Bacterial small subunit ribosomal RNA", at positions 524 to 776 of the family's 1533-position model. The record is from RNAcentral.
UACGAACUGUGCGAACGUUAUUCGGAAUCACUGGGCUUAAAGGGUGCGUAGGCGGCCGCCUAAGUCAGGUGUGAAAUCCCCCGGCUCAACCGGGGAACAGCGCUUGAAACUAGAUGGCUGGAGUGAGGUAAGGGUAUGCGGAACUUCCAGUGGAGCGGUGAAAUGUGUAGAUAUUGGAAGGAACACCGGUGGCGAAAGCGGCAUACUGGGCCUUGUCUGACGCUGAGGCACGAAAGCUAGGGGAGUGAACGGG